This 254-nucleotide ribosomal RNA is filed under the name uncultured bacterium. Its description in RNAcentral is "partial 16S ribosomal RNA". It matches the Rfam family "Bacterial small subunit ribosomal RNA", at positions 524 to 776 of the family's 1533-position model. The record is from RNAcentral.
UACGGAGGGUGCGAGCGUUGUCCGGAAUCACUGGGCGUAAAGGGCGCGUAGGCGGCUCAUGAAGGCUGUGGUGAAAGUCCGGGGCUCAACCUCGGAUCGGCCGUGGCGACUCGUGGGCUGGAGCACUGUAGAGGCGGGUGGAAUUCCGGGUGUAGCGGUGGAAUGCGUAGAGAGUCCGGAAGAACACCAGUGGCGAAGGCGGCCCGCUGGGCAGUGGCUGACGCUGAAGCGCGACAGCGUGGGGAGCAAACAGG